GUGAACACCAGGCGGAAGGUUGAUUGGCUCACUGAUAAGAUGCGCAGCCGCGAUCACACAGUAUCUGCAACUCAUGGAGACAUGGACCAGAACACUAGAGAUAUCAUUAUGCGAGAGUUCCGAUCUGGGUCAUCUCGUGUGCUCAUCACUACUGAUCUUCUGGCACGUGGUAUUGAUGUGCAGCAAGUAUCCCUUGUGAUUAACUAUGACCUACCUACUCAGCCAGAAAACUACCUGCAUCGUAUUGGACGUAGUGGACGAUUCGGAAGGAAGGGUGUGGCUAUCAAUUUUGUCACAAAGGAUGAUGAAAGGAU
RNAcentral lists this long non-coding RNA (314 nucleotides) under Capsicum annuum. RNAcentral's name for it is "long non-coding RNA (CANN_LNC012412)". The record is from RNAcentral. Lineage: Eukaryota; Viridiplantae; Streptophyta; Magnoliopsida; Solanales; Solanaceae.